AGAGUUUGAUCCUGGCUCAGGACGAACGCUGGCGGCGUGCCUAAUACAUGCAAGUCGAGCGCGGGAAGCGAGCGGAAGCCCUUCGGGGUGGACGCUCGUGGAACGAGCGGCGGACGGGUGGGUAACACGUGGGCAACCUGCCUGUAAGAUCGGAAUAACUCCGGGAAACCGGAGCUAAUGCCGGGUAACACCUUCUUUCGCAUGAAGGAAGGUUAAAAGAUGGCUUCUUGCUAUCACUUACAGAUGGGCCCGCGGCGCAUUAGCUAGUUGGUGAGAUAACAGCUCACCAAGGCGACGAUGCGUAGCCGACCUGAGAGGGUGAUCGGCCACACUGGGACUGAGACACGGCCCAGACUCCUACGGGAGGCAGCAGUAGGGAAUCUUCCGCAAUGGACGUAAGUCUGACGGAGCAACGCCGCGUGAACGAUGAAGGCUUUCGGGUCGUAAAGUUCUGUUGUCAGGGAAGAACAAGUACCGUGCGAAUAGCGCGGUACCUUGACGGUACCUGACGAGGAAGCCCCGGCUAACUACGUGCCAGCAGCCGCGGUAAUACGUAGGGGGCAAGCGUUGUCCGGAAUUAUUGGGCGUAAAGCGCGCGCAGGCGGUUCCUUAAGUCUGAUGUGAAAGCCCACGGCUCAACCGUGGAGGGUCAUUGGAAACUGGGGAACUUGAGGACAGAAGAGGAGAGUGGAAUUCCACGUGUAGCGGUGAAAUGCGUAGAUAUGUGGAGGAACACCAGUGGCGAAGGCGACUCUCUGGUCUGUUUCUGACGCUGAGGUGCGAAAGCGUGGGUAGCAAACAGGAUUAGAUACCCUGGUAGUCCACGCCGUAACGAUGAGUGCUAGGUGUUAGGGGGCUUCCACCCCUUAGUGCUGAAGUUAACGCAUUAAGCACUCCGCCUGGGGAGUACGGCCGCAGGCUGAAACUCAAAGGAAUUGACGG
Molecule: ribosomal RNA, 942 nt
Filed under: uncultured bacterium
Lineage: Bacteria
Description: bacterial SSU rRNA
Rfam family: Bacterial small subunit ribosomal RNA
Source: RNAcentral